GAUCAUGGCUCAGAUUGAACGCUGGCGGCAGGCUUAACACAUGCAAGUCGAACGGUAACAUAAAGAAGCUUGCUUCUUUGAUGACGAGUGGCGGACGGGUGAGUAAUGCUUGGGAAUCUAGCUUAUGGAGGGGAUAACUACGGGAAACUGUAGCUAAUACCGCGUAGUAUCGGAAGAUGAAGUGUGGGACCUUCGGGCCACAUGCCAUAGGAUGAGCCCAAGUGGGAUUAGGUAGUUGGUAG
RNAcentral lists this ribosomal RNA (242 nucleotides) under uncultured bacterium. Its description in RNAcentral is "partial 16S ribosomal RNA". It matches the Rfam family "Bacterial small subunit ribosomal RNA", at positions 15 to 255 of the family's 1533-position model. The record is from RNAcentral.